AGUCACUGACAUUAGAUACCCCUGUAGUCCAGGGUGUAAACGCUGCAGACUUGGUGUUGGAAAUCCUUCGAGGGUAUUCAGUGCCGGAGAGAAGUUGUUAAGUCUGCUACUUGGGAGUACGUCCGCAAGGAUGAAACUUAAAGGAAUUGGCGGGGAGCACCGCAACGGGAGGAGCGUGCGGUUUAAUUGGAUUCAACACCGGAAAACUCACCAGGGGAGACUGUUACAUGAAACCCAGACUAAUGAUCUUGGUUGAUUUUCAG
Molecule: ribosomal RNA, 263 nt
Filed under: uncultured archaeon
Lineage: Archaea
Description: partial 16S ribosomal RNA
Rfam family: Archaeal small subunit ribosomal RNA
Source: RNAcentral